Lepisosteus oculatus (spotted gar) is the source of this 2272-nucleotide non-coding RNA. The record is from RefSeq and is a predicted model, not a curated record. Lineage: Eukaryota; Metazoa; Chordata; Actinopteri; Semionotiformes; Lepisosteidae.
UAAAAAUAAGCUAAUACUUGCAUGGGGUUACUUGUAAAAGGCAAGAGGAAAAUAUGUGCGUUAAUUGCCAAGUGGUCGAAAAAAGUUUGUUAUAGAAUGCUUUUCUUACUGGUACACGAGUAUAUAUGUUUUUAGAAAGUUUGAAGGCUUGACUCCCACGUUGAUAAGAAUUAAGACAAAUAAUGUAAUAUGGCUUCGAUUAUCUGCAGUUCAGACCUUCAGUCAAUUAUUUUAAUUGGUCCGCGGUCUGUUGAGCAUUCCACGUGGCACGGUAUCUAUGCAGCACCUCUGACCACAUGUUUUAGGAAGCUUGACGCUUUAAUAUAUUCGUGUUAUAAAGUUAGUAUAUAAGCAUUUAAUGAUUGCCUGAGGAUUUUAGGGCAGCCUUAUGUAUGGAAAGUGAAAAUGUUGUAACCUCAAGUGUUUCGCCUUCUUUGCCCUUGUUGUGGUCGAGCUUCCCUAGUUCAUAAGUAAAAUUAAUAUUUACACUACAUAGAGCUUAUGUGGAAACUGUAAUCAAAGCGCUGGUAUAGUUAAUACACCACUGUGCAGCUUCCACCUGCAUGGUACGACAGCAGCCAUAGUGUGCCAGUACGCUAACCACACAUCAGCUAUCAGUGGGGAGGAGAACAGAGUAAUCGUGGAGGCCAUGAUAAGUAAAGACCAGGGGGAAUUUGGGCUGGGGAUUUACGGCGUCCUGGUCGAAUUAUAUAAGACUAAUGUCGAUGUUUUACACGAAACGUCCAUCAUGUGUCCCGCUUGCGAUCGCCACGUGGUCAAGAAGGCGGUAUUUGCACAAUGGAGUCUGGUCGAGCCACACUGGUCUCGGGUCACCUGAACAGAUUUAAUGUUGGUGAAAUCCGAAGUCUCUUUUAAGCAUCAGCAUAACAGGAUGCUGGUUUGCUGGAAGCAUCACAAACAUCUUUUAACAGACCUGAAUUGAAGUGUGGAGAUCACUGUACCUGUUGAUGUUGCCAAAGUUACUUCAGGACUGGGUCUCACAAUUUUUUUUCAGAAAUCUGAAGUCUCUUCACAAGAGGAUGCCAGUUUGCUGGUAAAUUCCAAAAAAGAGUACACCGUGUUGGCUUGACCAGUGAAAUUGGAGAAAGUUCACACCACCCGAUUUCUGACUGCUACAAAAGAAGCUAAGAACUCCCAUCACACUGAAGUUCAUGUUCAGUGUUAUUAGUAAUUCUUAGCAUUUGAGUCAGUCUGUGCCUAUUAACCGUCACAGAUGUCACAUUGUAAAUGUUUUGUUAAUAUGAUUUAAAAAUGUUCAUUUAUCAGUAUUUUGUGAAUUUAAAUAUGCAUUUGCACAGCCACUGUAAGUUCAAGAAAGAGAUGCUUAUUUGUAUAGAUCAGAAUCAUAAACCCAACAUAUAAAAGCGUUAACAGGAACAUGCUUUGUUAAAAUUGAGGCUAUUGUUUUGGUUUAUAAGAGCCAGUAGUUAAACCAGGCUUUAUAGUUAAAUACAACUACCAUGAAUUUAGCCUAUGUUGGUUGUAAGGGAAAUAUGUAGGAAGUAAUAAGUCAAACAAUAUUGCAAAUGGGAAGAAAAUUUGUCCUGCCAUUGACUAUAAGUGCCAUAUUGAUCCUUUAUCUUACCUAGAUCUUUUUUGAAAGAUCCCAGAGAAUCUAGUUCAGCAGUAUGUCUAGGUAGUUUGUUCCAGUUAUAAUUCUUCAUUGGGUUUGUGGUCCUCUUAUCCUUCAGGUGUUUUUUCCCAAGAUUAUAUAUAAUUGAGGUCUGAAGAUAUUUGGUACCACAGGAAUUGCUGUUCUUGUGAUAUUGUUUCAUUGUCUAUUUGUAAUUAAGCAUAACUUUUUUUGCAGUUAAAACUGCUGCUACCAAAUCAGGUUUCUAAAUGUAUUAUAAUGAAGUCAUUCAGAGCUCAUCUGAAAUGAAAAUCAGAAGACACUCAAGAACCCUUGGGGCAAGGUUACAGACCCUUGAUAUAACACAUCUUUAGACUAAAUCAGCUCUGCCUUUUAUGGUUUGCUAGUGUUUGAAAGGAAAGCUUGAAGACCUAUAAAGGUUUCAGUCCUGUGACUACAUUCUGUGCCAAAACUUAUGGUACAUUGUAUCUUAUUAGACAAAAACAGGAUAUGACCAGAAAGACUUUUGGCAACUGAUGCAUUUAUUAUGAUCUAAUUUUUGUAUUGUACUAAGCCAUCAGAUGAAAACAUGAUUGUAAACAGGUGAAUAAAAUAACUACAUUUGUGCAAAAAGUACAGCAGCAUAGAUACAUGAUGAAUAAAAAAUAAUUCAACUGA